UUCAUUUUCCCUCUCAGAGGCUAGAGAGAUUGAUCGGCGCAUAGCUGAUUGAGUGAUAGCUUGCAGUCGACCAAAUUUAAUACGAGCUUUACCUGAAUUGAAGAAGGACAAGGAAGCGAAAACAAAGGUUUGGCAACAUUGAUUUGUAGGAGGCUACCAGCUGAAAUAGCGUCGUCUUGCAGUCGAUAUUCUAAAGCAACGAGCCAACCUCUGUUGACAGAAAUGGCCAGUGAUGGAAAUAAAAUGAAAGCGAAACCAAAAAAAGGACCCAUUGAAGAAACUGAAGAAUUUUCGGAUGAAAGUGACGAGGAGGACCUUGGAGUUCAGUUGAUUUCAAGAAUAGGUCAUUGUGCUGUCUCAUCGUUGGUAAGUCAAUUAAUUAGCUUCGUUUCGUUUUCUGUUACCUUCUAGUUCGAACCACACACACUCACACAUAAUUCUACCACAUUUGUUAUCGAAAUCACACCAAGUAUUCAGCUACCUGGCUACGUUCCAUUUUGUAUCACAUAACAUUAAACCACUUGGGAUUGUUACACGUGGUGCUUGUGCGUUCGUUUUGGGGCUCUAUGUACUAGCUAUCCUUCCACUGCUAAGCGGCGCUACCCGGUGAUUCUCUGGAAUUCACAAAUGAUAGAUAAGUGUUCUGUUUUAAAUAAAUGUAAACGUCGCCUGAAUAUCAUCAACGAGAUACAGGUAAACCCCGAUAACUCGAGCCCUCGUUAACUCUAAUACCC
Stylophora pistillata is the source of this 734-nucleotide long non-coding RNA. The record is from RefSeq and is a predicted model, not a curated record. Lineage: Eukaryota; Metazoa; Cnidaria; Anthozoa; Scleractinia; Pocilloporidae.